UACGGAGGGUGCAAGCGUUAUCCGGAUUCACUGGGUUUAAAGGGUGCGUAGGUGGGCAGGUAAGUCAGUGGUGAAAUCUUUGGGCUUAACCCGAAAACUGCCAUUGAUACUAUUUGUCUUGAAUAUUGUGGAGGUCAGCGGAAUAUGUCAUGUAGCGGUGAAAUGCUUAGAUAUGACAUAGAACACCAAUUGCGAAGGCAGCUGGCUACACAUAUAUUGACACUGAGGCGCGAAAGCUAGGGGAGCAAACAGG
RNAcentral lists this ribosomal RNA (253 nucleotides) under uncultured bacterium. RNAcentral describes it as "partial 16S ribosomal RNA". It matches the Rfam family "Bacterial small subunit ribosomal RNA", at positions 524 to 776 of the family's 1533-position model. The record is from RNAcentral.